This 515-nucleotide long non-coding RNA is filed under the name Olea europaea subsp. europaea. The record is from RNAcentral. Lineage: Eukaryota; Viridiplantae; Streptophyta; Magnoliopsida; Lamiales; Oleaceae.
UUACUAAAUCAAAAAAAAAAAUUACAAAGACUUACGAUAUACAAUGUCUCAUCGUUGUCGUGUCCCGCACGAUGGCUAGUCUGUCAUCCACAGUCAAGCUCGCAUGUCUAGCCAUCAUAGGAACGAUCACAGUUAUCGACUCUACGAUCUGCUCAAGCUGUCCCUUUGUCAGACAUGAAUGAUCGGGAUCGUACACAUAUCGUCAAAUCAGGGAACACGAUCUCCAGUUCAAUGCAGUGCUGAUUCGCGAUAAUUGGAAUGUACAAAUGCGUACAACCUUCCCAUGGCUUUCCCCCAACACUCGGUGACAGCUCGAUGACCCACUCGAACAUAUAGGCGGGAAGCACGUAUUCGUUACCUAGAAGUUGGAGGGACUGAUACUCAAUGGUAACGGCACGGAAGAACUCGGUGUUCAGUAUAAUGCGACCAAGCUUGUAGAAUGAUUGUGGAUAUCUCUCAACUCGCAAUCGCGCAACAAGUCCAUGACCAUGUCGAUGUGCUACAUCAAGGAAAAC